UACAGAGGGUGCGAGCGUUAAUCGGAAUUACUGGGCGUAAAGCGCACGUAGGUGGCUUUGCAAGUCGAUUGUGAAAUCCCCGGGCUUAACCUGGGAACUGCAGUCGAGACUGCUUUGCUUGAGUAUGGGAGAGGGAGGUGGAAUUUCCGGUGUAGCGGUGAAAUGCGUAGAUAUCGGAAGGAACAUCAGUGGCGAAGGCGACCUCCUGGACCAAUACUGACGCUGAGUGAGCGAAAGCCAGGGGAGCAAACGGG
Molecule: ribosomal RNA, 254 nt
Filed under: uncultured bacterium
Lineage: Bacteria
Description: partial 16S ribosomal RNA
Rfam family: Bacterial small subunit ribosomal RNA
Source: RNAcentral